CACUUUGGGAGGCCGAGGUGGGAGGAUCACUUGAGCCCGUGAGUUCUAGACCAGCCUGGCAACAUAGAGAGACUCUGUCUCUACAAAAAAAUACAAAAAUUAUCAGACAUAGUGGCAUGCAUCUGUAGUCCAAGCUACAUAGGAGGCUGAAGUGGGAGAAUUGCUUGAGUCCAGGGGAGGUGGGUCAAGGCUGCAGUGAGCUUUGAUCACACCACUGCACUCCAUUCUGGGCAACAUAGCAAAAUCCUGUCUCAAAAAUAUUUAUCAGUAGGAAAUGCAGGAGGGCACAGUGGCUCAUGCCUGUAAUGCCAACGCUCUGGGAGGCCAAGGCAGGAGGAUCACUGGAGGCCAGGAGUUCAAGACCAGCCUGGGCAACAUAGUGAGACCCCAUCUCUACAAAAAAAAAUUAUCCAGGCAAGGUGGUACAUGCCUA
RNAcentral lists this long non-coding RNA (433 nucleotides) under Homo sapiens (human). Its description in RNAcentral is "HSALNT0185006". Lineage: Eukaryota; Metazoa; Chordata; Mammalia; Primates; Hominidae. The record is from RNAcentral.